RNAcentral lists this ribosomal RNA (253 nucleotides) under uncultured bacterium. RNAcentral describes it as "partial 16S ribosomal RNA". It matches the Rfam family "Bacterial small subunit ribosomal RNA", at positions 524 to 776 of the family's 1533-position model. The record is from RNAcentral.
UACAGAGGGUGCGAGCGUUAAUCGGAAUUACUGGGCGUAAAGGGUGCGUAGGUGGUUUAUUAAGUCAGAUGUGAAAUCCCUGGGCUUAACCUAGGAAUUGCAUUUGAAACUAGUUGACUAGAGUGUGGUAGAGGGAAGUGGAAUUUCCGGUGUAGCGGUGAAAUGCGUAGAUAUCGGAAGGAACAUCGGUGGCGAAGGCGACUUCCUGGUCCAUUACUGACACUGAGGCACGAAAGCGUGGGGAGCGAACAGG